RNAcentral lists this ribosomal RNA (439 nucleotides) under uncultured bacterium. RNAcentral's name for it is "partial 16S ribosomal RNA". It matches the Rfam family "Bacterial small subunit ribosomal RNA", at positions 339 to 795 of the family's 1533-position model. The record is from RNAcentral.
CUACGGGUGGCAGCAGUGGGGGAUAUUGCACAAUGGGCGAAAGCCUGAUGCAGCAACGCCGCGUGAAGGAAGACGGUUUUCGGAUUGUAAACUUCUAUCAGCAGGGAAGAAAAUGACUGUACCUGACUAAGAAGCCCCGGCUAACUACGUGCCAGCAGCCGCGGUAAUACGUAGGGGGCAAGCGUUAUCCGGAAUUACUGGGUGUAAAGGGUACGUAGGCGGCUGAUCAAGUCAGAUGUGAAAGCCCGGAGCUCAACUCCGGGACUGCAUUUGAAACUGGUCGGCUAGAGUGCAGGAGAGGAAAGUGGAAUUCCUAGUGUAGCGGUGAAAUGCGUAGAUAUUAGGAAGAACACCAGUGGCGAAGGCGGCUUUCUGGACUGUAACUGACGCUGAGGUACGAAAGCGUGGGGAGCGAACAGGAUUAGAUACCCUAGUAGUC